Molecule: long non-coding RNA, 348 nt
Filed under: Arabidopsis lyrata
Lineage: Eukaryota; Viridiplantae; Streptophyta; Magnoliopsida; Brassicales; Brassicaceae
Description: long non-coding RNA (ALYR_LNC002478)
Source: RNAcentral
AGGGACAGUUACCGGGGGAACGGGUAGCUCUGGGACGGUGACCGGAGGAACGGGUAGCUUGGGAACGGUCACUGGAGGAACUGGUAGCUUAGGUACGGUCACCGGAGGAACCGGUAGCUUAGGUACAGUCACUGGAGGAACGGGUAGCUUAGGUACGGUCACCGGAGGAACCGGUAGCUUGGGUACAGUCACUGGAGGAACGGGUAGCUUAGGUACAGUCACUGGAGGAACCGGUAGCUUAGGGACGGUCACCGGAGGAACUGGUAGUUUGGGAAUGUGUACUGGGGGUUUAGGGGAGGGCUUUCCACCCUUCCUGGGGUUACAUGAACCGCAUGAGAGGGAAUGUUG